This is a non-coding RNA of Rattus norvegicus (Norway rat), 13923 nucleotides long. The record is from RefSeq and is a predicted model, not a curated record. NCBI's taxonomy places the organism in Eukaryota, Metazoa, Chordata, Mammalia, Rodentia, Muridae.
GGUGUUCUAUUUUCAAUUGUUGUGUUCUAUUUUCAGUUUCUUCCUCUGUGAUGGGAGUUGAGUCUAUUUUGAAUCUACCGUGAGUCAGAGGAUGGAGAGAAUCAUGUUCCUGUCUGACAGGGUCACAACUGAAAGAGUUUGCCUUGAGCCUCAGAUGAGACUUUGGAUUUAGGCAUUUGAGUGAAGUCGAAAUGAGUUCAGAUGUUGGGCACAUCGAUGAGGAAUGUAUAUAAAAUGUGUUUGGAGAAGAACAUGAACACUGGUAGUCAAGAUGGAACAAUGAAGUUUAUACUCAGCAGUGUUUCUCAAGCUUCCAAUGCUGGACACAUUUAAUACAAUUUUCAUUGUUGGGCUGACCCCUAACCAUAAUUGCUACUUCAUAACUGUAAAUUUGCCACUGUUAUGAAUCAUAAUAUAAAUCUCUGAUAUGUAGGAUAUCAGAUAUGGGAUGCCCCACCAAGGAGCUACAACCCACAGGUUGAGAACCACUAUUACUCAGUAACAUAAAUCCUUGCAAAAGAUUCAUCUACCGGAAGUGUGGGUCUCAGUCUAAGGAUGAAAGGUGGAAGAACCAUUAAGAGGUCUGACCUAAUAAAAGGGAGAUACCACCUCAGAAGUAACGGAUUCAUCCGGAGCACAGCAGCCAGGCAACGCUCUACAGAGAUUCCAAAGGCAGGAGGAUGGUCUCCAUGGGAACCAAGGGGGACUUUUCAGAAGAAAUGAGGGUUGACUGUUAUGUUACUUAAGGAAAAGGGGGUUAAGUCUUGGCAUCCCAGCCACAAAAUUCAUAUACAUAUAAGAUUCUCUUUUCCUCCAUACCUAUGCCCUGCCUCAAAGAAAGGAAGAAAGGAAAAAGAAAGAAAGAAAGAAAGAAAGAAAGAAAGGAAGAAAGGAAGGAAGGAAGAAAGAAAGAAGGAAGACAAAGAAAGAAAGGAAAUAAACCUGAAAAUUACAUCAAGGUAAAACAAAAGUAGAAAACUAGACAAAAACUACAAAAAAGACAUACCAUAAAAGUAAUGUGUGUGUGUAUGUGUGUGAAUCCAUUUUGCAUUUAUGAACAACUACUGUUCCAUUGGGACCACAUGAGAGGGUGGUUGAUAUACCUAUUGACCUUAUUGAGGGAAACUGAUUUUCCCUUUACCAGAAGAUAUCAAUCGCAAAUCACUUCUUGGUUGAGGGUGGGACAGUGGUUAAGCAAUGACGAGAUCUGCACCUGGAUAAUGUGCAGAGUGUGAGAGACUUAGGAGCACUCAGAAAAAGAAAUUUUGAGUUGCCAGUGAGAAGGUUUGAAUAUAAUGGAGUUACAAGGUAAAGAGAAAAGGGUUUCCAAAUACAGGGCUCAGCCUCUACUCUGGGUGCAAACAAGACAUUCAAACUGGUUCCUGCCCCAAAGAAAAGGGAAACUGUUCAAAUGAUAAACUCUCACUUGUAUCAUUUAUCUCCUUACGAAUUAAAAUCACUUCGCCAACGUCUCUAUUUUGCAAUUCAGGAGUGAAGACACAUGUAGGUUAUCCUCUGUGAAGCUUUCCUACAGUGUCAUCUUGAACAUCUUGCGGGUCACACUGGCUGUGUGUGGCCAUAGGAGCUAUUACAAUUCCUGUGCUGCACCAGGAAUAGCAUGAAAAUCCCACAAAAGCAACUUACUCUGAUUUUCUGCUGAACUAAGCGCAUCACCUCCUGAGUCUGUAAACACCUCUGAGUCAUUUCUGAUUAAUCUUUGAGGGUCAUUUGCUCAGCACAGGGAAAAUGAUGCAUGAAGUUAUUGAAUGCUUAGUGUUACAGAUGCUGUUCCCAUGGAGAUCAUUCCCAGCAACGGCACAGUCUCACCCAAGAAACGGACUCUGACUUGAGUCCUUAUCUUACUUUUGUUCAUGAGAAGAAUUUGAAUGGCAUGUGCCAACAGAUGUGGUUUGAAGCAGCCAGAAGACACACCAAACAAAUUCAACUUCUUCCAGGUCUACGACGAGCACUGGCCUUUUGCCUCAGGACUCUUGUGCUUUCCCCUCUGCCUGUGAGUGCCUCCUUUCCCUCAGACUGUCCAUCUUGACCUUGUUCAUUUACACUCAUUCUCCAGGCUUCAGAGAGUCACUCUACCCAUCUCCUAAAAACGACUUUGUGCCCUUUCUGUGGUAUUUAGGAGAUUUAAAUACUGUACAAACUCAUCACUCUCCCCAAUUCUUUGUUCAUGCUAUCCCUCCCCCUAGUAUCAUGUAGACUCAGAGGGAAGUUGGCCUGCCUUGCACACUCUGUAGUUCAGCACCCAGCACCAUAUGUACCACGUAACAGGCACUCAAAACAUGUUUAUUAAAUGAGUUCAUAAAGAGGACGAUGGAGUGUGUGCUCUGAGGGACUCAAGUCCAUGAGACUUCACAGGAAGAAUAUCAGACUGUGUCAGAAUGCUUUGCAAACAUGCCUCGCUUCCCUUUCAACUUGUAGAGCGAGCUCUGGGAAACUUUUUUUAUGCUAGCUUAAAAGUCUUAAAGUCUAUUUUCUCAAAGGCUUGCGGGAUUAAAAUCAAGCAUCUAGUGUCCUGAGAGAUCUCAGUAUUAAGUGACUUAUUUCUCCCUGUAGGAGAAAUUGCUGAUGGGGCUGUGAGAUAACCAGAACUUCAAGACUCAGCUAGGAUUUUGCACAUCCUUUGUUGGGGCAUUCUUCCAAUCUGCUUGCCACAAUGGAUACUGUUUAAGAGGAACUUAUCCUAGAGAAACUGAUAUAGAAGACUAUCAAGUCUAAGCAGAGACCCCCAUGCUUGCUUUUCCCUCUGCAAGGGGUUUGUGGUUCUGCAUAGAUGUACAAACUCCUAUGCAAAAAAAGACCUCUUUCAAGAAGGCUCCACCUAUGGUGAUCAAAGAAAUAAAGGCAAUUUAUGUUUCCAUUUUCAAGUCUUCUAAGUAACACAUAUGAAGUGUCGCAGGCUGGAAGGAAGCCAUGACCUCUCUCACCUCUUAAGUGUCUUCGGUGCCUCAAGAAACUCUUAGGGUUACUACAUUACUCCUAGAAUUUCUUCAGAAAGUGAAUGUUAUGUACACACAGAUGUUCUCACUUCUAGUACAAGCCUGGGUCUCUUUUCACACAGCUUGCCAAUAUGCUGGAUCUUUUCCACCAAAAUAACCCACACUGAAUAAAGCAAAAUUGUAGAUCCAGAGGCAGGACACUUCUGUCAGCACCCUGCACAGAAAAGUGUCCUUACCUAGUUCUGGAGUUGCGCUGUAAUACACAAAGGAACUGGAUAUUGGGUCUUCAGCAACCCACUCAUGUGUUGCGGAUGGAUGGAACCUGGGGCUCCAUACCACUAAAAUGAACUCUUGCAAGUAGGUCCAUACUAUUGGGGGAAAAAUCCUGCUGGAAGAUAAUGCAUCUGUACCCGUGAAACUGAGACUAUAUGCUGAUGAGAACUUGAGCUGCUCUGUCGGAACAUGGUCCAACAAUGGCGUUGUGGUAGGACAAUUCCGAGUGCUUGUGAGAAAACUCCAAGAAACCAAGACAAAAGUCUUGCCACCUGUUACUUCCAAAACAUGGAAUUGUUCUUGGAUUAUGCUUUCAUGGCCCUCUAAGCCCCAUCUACAGAGAUUUACCACCUGUGAUCAUCACAUAGAAAGAGAAUCCUUAAGACUCUUUGCUACUCAUGAUCUUGAGAAACAGGAAGAUUCUACUAAAAAUACCCUGAGGUGCUGGAGCACAAGCCUGGGAAACAUAAGAAAGUUUGGGUAUCAGCAAGGAGACACCAGUGUGUAAAGGCAUCACCACAUGAAUGGAGCUACAAGAGAUGGCAAAUUCCAGUACGUUUCAGGAAGGAGCUGAGUCAAUGUUUCAUGUGCAGUUACACAUACAGGCUGACUUUUCACAUCCAGAAAUGAUCUAAAUAUGCUUCGUGGGAUUCAAAAUCAGCAUCAGCUCCUCUUAGCAAAAAUCGCUUUCAUCUCUCCAAGAGCUGCUUCUGUGGAAUGUGUGGUCAUUCUUUGCUAGAAGGCAUUUGGGGAAGCCACAUCAGCCUAAAUUCUCAUGAGAAUUCCUCUUGCCUGUCAGAUACUUUAUCUUCAAAGAAUGGCACUUGACUGUUACGGGAUCCCUCCAUCCUCCAUGACAAAAUGAGAAAGUAUACAUUGGUGUUUCAACUGCUUCAGUUAUUGAGUAGCAACCAUAUGUGUCACAGAAGCCAGAGCAAAUGAAGUUCAAUGUUAAAAGAAAACUUGUUGCAAAUUGGGAGUUCUGAGUUAGAACUUGAAAAACGUGUUGCUAUCAGAAAGAGAUGCCUUCUUAUGCACUAUAUACCAUGGUAAAUAUGUUCUCUCAUCAUAAGUAUCAUUGUUGCUUGAGUUUAAUUUCCUCAUGUGUCAGGAUCCCAGUUAGCCACCUUGGUGCUUUACCCAAGAAUCAAUGCUCACUUUUAUUGUUGUGCCUCCUGUUUAUACUAGAUUUAUCAUUUCAUCUGUAUUCAUAUUUUCUAUCCCAAUUCAGGCUGGAGUCCUUUCUGGAUUUAUCUAUAACGGAAAUACUCAUUAGUCUCUCUGCUUCCAUUCUUAGUGGUCUUCUUGACCAAUUCUUUGUAAUGCAAACCAACACAAAUUCUCCAUUUCUUUUUUUUUAAUUUUUUUUUAUUUUUUAUUUUUUUAUUAACUUGAGUAUUUCUUAUAUACAUUUUGAGUGUUAUUCCCUUUCCCGGUUUCUGGGCAAACAUCCCCCUCCCCCCUCCCCUUCCUUAUGGGUGUUCCCCUCCCAACCCUCCCCCCAUUGCCGCCCUCCCCCCACCAGUCUAGUUCACUGGGGGUUCAGUCUUAGCAGGACCCAGGGCUUCCCCUUCCACUGGUGCUCUUACUAGGAUAUUCAUUGCUACCUAUGAGGUCAGAGUCCAGAGUCAGUCCAUGUAUAGUCUUUGGGUAGUGGCUUAGUCCCUGGAAGCUCUGUUGAAUAGCUUCACACUGACCCAAACACAAGGGCUUUUUCCUGGUUCAGCUCAUUCUUUUCUUCUUAUCCUCUAACUCACAGGCUCACCAACCUCCUCUUAUUUCCUACUGACUCCAGAGCCUGUGUCAACCUGUUUCUCCCUGACUGGGACACGGGUACAAAUUUCCAGUCUCUAGAUGAUUUGAGUUCUCACUCAUUCUCCAUAUCAUAAUGCAAAGGUUACUUCUUACAAGAGGCUUUUUUUGGUAUGUAAGAAAGUAUGAGGGGUCACAUUUGCGUGUUGUUUUGGAUGUGGAUUUGUUGUGAUCUGUCUUUGUUUUAUUCUAUUUUGCCUGUAACAUGUAAGUGUUAACUAAACAAUGAAUGUAUAAGUGACUUAAGAGAAAAAAAGAAUGGAUUCAACUAUUGCUCCACCCUCAGAGUAUGGAGAGCAGGACGUAAUUACUAUAGGCUAAUCCUUUAGCAAAGUAUUGAAAUGAAGCAAGAUGUUUUUCAAAACUAUCAGUAGAAGAUAGUCACUUCAUGGGCACUUGCAUUCAGUAUGCCAGGUUCUUUCAUCAUGAAACUCCUGACAGAAUGACUCAAUGGAAGAAGGAUUUAUUUAAGCUCAAGGUUUUAUGGGAUUCAGUCCUUCAUACCAGGCAAGGCAUAGUGAAGUUCAGGAGGCACUGAAAUAAAACUCUUGUUCCAUUCUCCCUUUUACUCCAUAGCAGCCCCCUGACAUAUCGGGGGAGCCCAGCUAGCAGUUAGAUUGGGUAUUUCCCCAUUAUUUGCCAUUCUAUAUAUUGAUACUCUCUGAAAAAAGUCCACAAAGACACAUGCAGAGGAGUGUAUUACAUCUCUCUCAAUCUGGUCAAGUUGACAAUUAGAUUACACGCCAUGAUGAUCUUCAAGGGUUUUCACCAAAGUUCUGCACUUCUGCAACACUGAGGGUCUCAAUUUCUGUCUCUCUGUAGGACAGGAAGUUGGCUGUGUCAGCUGACUCUGAGCCAUCUGUUCACCAUGAAGCUGGAGCCCCAGACUCUGGACAAAGCCUUUCUAUUUUCAGUACAGUUUAAGGUGUUUCAUGGAUCUAAAUUGUCUACAACCCUUACUGCCAUUCAUCUUUCUUGUUAAUCAAGGACAUAUGUCUAUUGACUUUAAUGGGGUCUUGAGUGCUUCAUGAACUACUGAGAUGAGAAAAGAUCAGUGCUUGGAUAGUGAAAGAAAAAUGGGAACAAGGGGACUGUGAAAAGUUAAUUGAAAUAAAGCAUGUGCUGGAGGACACAGGGUCACACACAUGGGAAGAGCAGUAAAUAGAGAGGUUUUGUUCUGGGUGUUUUUUAUAGUUAAGCUUACAAGCUGUAAUCAUCAGGGCAAUCACAAACUCCCUCCAGAAUGUAUUCCUUCUAGGAAAAACAACCUUGUGUCAGUACUGACAUGGAACAAUCAGCUGGGUAGUCUCCUGGAUGAAUUAUUUUUAAUGCACCUCACCAGGAAGACCUUCCUUUAGAAAUGAAACUGCUAUGGAAAGCAAGGAGGAUACAGGUUAGAAGACAACCCAUGUCUGUCUAGCAAGUGAUCCAAAACUUCGGACAGGUGCCUUAUCUUUUAAAUAGUUAAUGUCAAUCUCUGCCUACUACAUCUGCAAAAUCAAUACCUGAUGUUUGCACUAUUGUUCAAGGACUUAAAAGAGAUUCUCAUAUAUAAUUUCUUGAGCAAACUCUGAUAUGAUAUUGCUGUUCUAUCUCCAAUUUAAUGUCAUUGAUACAGAGGGGUAGGAUAAAGGACUUAGUAAAAAUCAAGCUGCUUUCAUGUUAAAUGUCUGUGAACAAAAUUCAGUCAUCUCUAUGUAUCUAUCAAUGUAUCUACCUAUAUAUCUAUCUAUGUAUCUAUGUAUCUAUGUAUCUAUGUAUCUAUCUAUCUAUCUAUCUAUCUAUCUAUCUAUCUAUCUAUCUAUCUAUCUAUCCAUCCAUCCAUCCAUCAUCUAUUUUUUAUGCUGUAUGCCCAUACACAACUUUUCCACUAUCAUGAACAUUGAGAAUAUCAAAUGUAUUCAAAAGCCUAAUAGUUAUUUUUCCUCUCACCAAUUAUUUUCUUAGCCUGAAGGGAUUGAGGUUGAUUCUUACACAUGAAUAAGGAUACAGGGUUGAAUAGCUAUCAAGAUUCAUAUCUAUAGAAGGGUGGUGAGCAGCUUUCCCCCAUGAGACUUAAGGGAAACUUCCUUCAGUCCUCCAACAUAUAUACCAUUAGGAUGACAGUGAUCACUUACUCAUCCAUCUUUCUAGCAUUUUCACCCUUCCGCGAUCUCUGCAAACCCAUCUCUACCCUGCCAAAUUCAGAGUGACAGUUCUAAAAUACAAAUUUGGAAGUCACCAUUUAUCUUCUGAAAGCACUGCUAAUUUCUCAUUAUCUAUAGGAUCAAGCACAAAUUCCUUAGCAGAAUAAUUUUAUGUCCCUAUUUCUCCCGUUCCCUGUAUUAUCCUUGCAUUUACUGAACAGGGACACCCAGGCCAUUGUUUUCUGAUGAUGGAGAAACUAGGUCCUAUCCUCUGAGCCUUGAGUAUUAAUGGGGGUUUAGGACACUGUGAAGAUCAGAUUCUGGCCAUUAAGCGUCUCUACCCUUCUCUCCAAUAUCCCUCCCUUCUAGUGCUUAUUCUCAUUAUUCCCAUUCUCCAGAGCGCUACUGUAUCUCUCUACAGCCACAUGGGAAGUGCCAGCCAGAAAAUCAUGAUUUUUUUGCCUAGUGAAUCUUCUUUUGAGGCGAAUUCAAGUGGUUAAUUGCUCAACUCUGAGAAGCCUUUUACAAUUCCUAAGAUGUUGCUGUAUUCUGCUUUUUUUUCCUCCUUACAGUCUCCAUCAGCUUAUGUUAAAAAUGUCAUGAAGACCACCUUGAUAUGAGGAUUUAAACUCUCUCUCUUCAUAGCAAGGCACUAGUUGUAAAUAAUUUAGCUCCAUAUUAACAGUAAGCCUUGGUUCUUACAUGGUAAACCAGAUAUUUUUCUUGCUAUACUGACUCUGAAUUGCUCCUCUUUCAGAUUUUCUCUUCUGCCUUCUCCUGUGGAUAUGACACUCAGAGUUGGGUUCUUGUACAAUCUGUUGUCAUGUGUCCUUUCUCAGUUUUUUGAGGCAAUCUUUCCAUGGAAGGAUUGAUUCACUCCGUGAAGUGUUCUCUGGCUUCUAGCCUACUGCCAGGCUCGUAUUUAUUACUCAAAGAACAGCUGAGGGAUGAUGACAAGGACUUGAUUUUAAAAGUUGUUCUGACAACAAUAUCAAUCAACCAGACCCCCCCCUCCCCAGAGCUCCCAGGGACUAAACCACCAACCAAAGGGUACACACGGAGUAACCCAUGGUUCCAGCUACAUAUGUAGCAGAGGACAGCCUUGUCUGGCAUCAAUGGGAGGAGAGGCCCCUUGGUCCUGGGAAGGCUCCAUAACCCAGUGUAGGAGAAUGCCAGGGCCAGGGGUCAAGAGGAAGUGGGUGGGUGGAUGGGGGAGUACUCUCAUAGAAGCAGGGGAGAGAGGAAAGGGAUAGAGGGUUUAUGGAGGGGAAACCAGGAAACAACGUUUGAAGUGUAAAUAAAGAAAAUAUCCAAUAGAAGAAAAGAAAGAAAGUUGUUCUAAAAUACAAUUACUACUCUCUGUUAGAAAAUACCAGUUACUAAUAUCAUUGCCCUAAUAUCUUUCUCAGUACAAUGAAUAUUUUGUAGAGCAGGAAUCACAAUUUGUGUAAUUCUUUAAAAACAUACUAUAGCAUAUGUCUUUUCUGUAGUCUGAUUAUGUGUGUGUGUGUGUGUGUGUGUGUGUGUGUGUGUGUGUGUAUAGUAAUGGUGUACAUGCAUUUAUUGAAUGUAUCUUUCAUGUGAAAUAAUAAAGUACAUACUUCACUUUUGUUCCUUCUUAUUGAGUGUGUAAAAUAAUUAUAUUCACUCUGUAAAUGUUAAGCAUAAGUGACAGAAGUUUGGUUUUACACGGCCCCACAUCUGUCAAGGAUCAGUGAAAUACCAAAGAGAUUCCAGCAGAAGGCCCCUUGUACUCUGUGUUGUUCUAAAGGACAAGUAGACUUACACAUGAACAAUCAUUUUUCUGAAAAGAUUCAGCACAUUUCAUCUCCCUGAACAAAACAAAACAGAGAGGAUAGGGAAAUGGCCCAGUGGUUACGAUUACUUUCUCCCCUUACAGGGGACCUGGAUUCAGUUUUCAGCAUCCAUCUUGGGGCUCAUAACUUUCAGGAACUUGAGUUCCACAGGACCUAAUGCCCUUGGGUGGUACCUGCAGACCCUAGAACAUAUGUGAUUCACAUAUACAAUCAAGCAAACCCAAAUAAAAUAAAUAAUUAUAAACCAUAGAAAUGGUGGCUCUGUGCCACUCUCCUGAGUAUAUUGUAGACUGGGUUUCCUAUUCUACAGUGAAUCAAUGAUCCUGGUGGACAGGGGAGAGGUCACACUGACUAGGUCUGGAUAGGAUUGGGGAAUGUCCCAGGCAAAGCAGGAUGAACUAGUCAGCCUAAAUUCAGCAAUAAUAUAAUAGUACCCAAAUGUUAAAAUUAAGUCAUUUGGUCAUGUUCUGAUACCAAAUAGCAAGUCAACAUGCAUGGAUGUGUGUAUGGUUGGUGUUUGUUUGUGUGUGUGUGUGUGUGUGUGUGUGUGUGUGUAGACUAGCAAGUUUAGGAGGAAAUGGAAUGUAUUUUCUUACAUAGCUCUUUGAAAUUUAAAACAGAUGCUGGGACACAACAAAAUUGGGACUAAAUCUUUUUUAAGAUGCAUCUUAUAGUCUUAAUCCUUGUUAUGAUAGGAAAGCCAUGAGUACCAAUGUGAGAACAUUCCCUAACCCACUUCACAAAUCCACACAGCGUCAUACUCCCCAAACUAUUCCCAUUCUCCACAAUCUCACCAGUUUUCAGGACCUGCCUGAGCCAUAGAUACUCAUAUAUUCACAUGACCAUUAGCCAGAAUCAUUCAUAUACAUAUCCAAAUUUAUUUAGAUUCACUGAUUAGUCGCACACUACUUAAUAUUUAUUCACAAAUGUCCUUUUACAGUUCCACAUCAAUCUACACAUGUACUUUAAAUAGAUAUAACAUGCAUUCCUACAUGAUACUCAGUAUUCAGGUUCAACACAAUGCAAAAUGUAUCACCAAGAGACAUUUGUUGAUUUUUAUAUAGUAUGAACUAUAUUGCCUUCUUUUAUUCCUACUUCCAGAAUUAUUCCAUAGGUUCGAACAUGUCUUCCAAAAUUCAUAUAUUAAGUUACAUUCAGAGAGAUACAAAGUUUACACCAUAUCACAUUUGCAUGUUCACAUGUAUAUAUUCCAUAAAUCUUUCUUUUGAAUAUCUGUACACACAUACAUAAAUACAACAUGAUAUAUAUAUAUAUAUAUAUAUAUAUAUAUAUAUACACACAGAAUACUGUCUUGUCUUCGAAAGUUGCUUCAAAAAUCUCUGUGUGACAAGGCUGAAUAUACAGACAAAAUUUAAGAGAAAAAAUAAGUAAAAUCGGCAGGAACACAUGUAGAAGUAUGCAUAUAUUUUGAAGCAUUUUUUAUUAUAUCCAUAUAUGUUAGUAUAUUUGGGUUUUUUAUCUCUGUUCCCCUAGCAUCAUGCAUAUUCACACAAUCCACAAAACUCUGUGUCAAAGAUCUUUCCCAUUCUUUACAUUACUUCAAAUACUGAAGCAAGUCAGUGAGUCUAUUCUUCUUUGUUCAAGGAGAAUAGUGAAUGUACACAGAGGCCACUGACAUGUGAUGCUUUGAAAGCCACCACUGCCAGUGAGGUCCCAGAAUUAGAAGGUUCAGGAGGAAACUGACCAUGGAGGAAUGUUUUUCUACUUAGCCAAAAAGAUCCGGCUCCUUUGAACAUUGACUUUCUGCUGAGAUGUCCUAAUGCAUUCCACAUUUGACCAUUAAAUCCUAAUUGGAGGCCUGCUGGGAAGGUAUGGGGGCCCAGCCUGCCAGAAUUUCCUGGGUCACAUCCUUGCAAGACCUAGCCUGGCCCCCUGCCCCUGUGUGACCUGCCCCUUUGAACUCUUAAUCCUUCUACUGCUCACAAAGAAUUAGGAGCUCAAUUUACUCCUGAAACCACAAGAAUGUGUCCUUUGGUCUUCCCCUUCUCAUCUGCCACCUCCACCCCCUGCCCCCCAUCCUCACACACAUACACACUUUGUUAUUCUUGCCUCCACACACCACCCUUAGUGAAGAGGCAGAAUUACUUGUAUAGGCUUAAUUGAAAGGCUCCAAAAACCCUGAGACUUUUAUGAUGAAACAAUUGUCCUUGGUAAAUGUCAAACUCCGUAUUUGAUGAUGUUCGUGACCUUUUUUUCCCAUGACUCUGCUUUUUUCUUGAGAAAUUAUGACCUGGCUCUAUCAGCCUGACCUGGUCAUGUUCACAUACAGCAAGUGUUAUGUGUCUGAGAGGAGGCUCACCCUCUUUAACACUGAUAACUAUCACCAGGUUCAUGGCAUAUUCAAGCAGAUACUAAGGGAAAAGAAGUAAGAAUCAGAGAGCCUUGACAUAAUCGCUUUGGAAGGUCAGAUAAUCCUGGAAUGAAUGAUAACCUUACCCCUGGCCCCACUAGCUGCGUUUCCUCUUACUAGCCAUUGUGGACCCAGGUAUUGUGACAAUAGUGGUCAGACCCCUGGCCUCUAAAACUGUUGCUUCAAGAUUCAAAUAAAGGAAUUCGGGUGAAAGUUCUUUGAACAAUUGAAACAUUAAUCCAACAUCAUUAGCAUAGAAAGGAUAAAAAGACCCUUCUUCCAUCAAUAGGAACUUCAAAGUGAACUAAGAUUUAGGGAUAAUGAUUGCACAGAAAUCUAUUGAGAACGACUUAUCAUGGCCAAUGGCUGCAAAACACAGGAAGAUAAAUUUCAACUACCCAGGAAAUAACUUCCCAAGGGUCAGAGAGUAACUACUAAAUGGAGCCCCUUGAAGUUCUUUGUUCUAUGGCCUCCUGAGAAUGUCAGUCUGUCUUCCACUGAUUGGCUGACAUAAAACUCAGUCCUAAUACCUCACAGAUGAACUCUCCUGGACCAAAUUUGUGAAUUUCUCAGUCUAGGCAGAUAGUGAAUUAGAGCACAGGCUAGCCCUGGACCUAGAAGACACUAUGCUGACUGAUGAGUAUGGCUUGUCUUAAAGAAAAUUCAACAACAACAACAAUGCAUCGAUGGUCAAUAGGUUAGCUAAAUUUAUGAAAGUGUCAUAACGAAAGCUUUCAUUUGGUACACUACCAAAAGAGUUGAAUGUUGGUUUAGAUUUCUAACUCCAGAGUUUGACAAACCUUUUACGACAUUACUAACUUGAAUAAAUCUUGCAAGUCUCCAUUUUGUUUGUUUUGUUUGAUUUUUUUUUUAAUUUUAAAAUGGGAAUACUGAUAAGGCCUACCUUGUAGAUUUUUACCUGUUGGAUUUCAACAGUGUAAUCCACCCAAUGUCUAUGGCCUUUCUAUGGAGAGGAAGUUUUUAUGAAUGUCAGCUUUAGGCAUUAUUAUGUUGAUAGUGUACACGCUAGUGUCAAUGAUGAUCUGUAAAAGUGAAUCUUCCUUGAUUCAAAAAGCUCUCAGCAGCUAAUAUACAAACAGAAUUCAAUUCAUGCCUAUAUCCAGGGAAGUGCUGCCUAUCUCCAAGACAGGAUUUGAUUUGCUUAGUCGUCUUUCAUUUUGUUUUACUGAGUCCAGACCUUGCUGAUCUAAUUUACAUUCUACAAAAGACUGGAUUCUGAUCCUCUACACUCAUUUUACUAGAAAACAUUCUGAUUCAUUUGUGUAGAAGCAAAAAACCAUUUCCAUCUUCAGAAACUGAUUUAUUUUGUUUGUUUGAGACAAGGUUUCUCUAUGCAGCCCAGGCUAUCCUGAAACUCACUCUAUAGACCAGGCUAGUCUAGAACUCAAGAGAUCCACCUGCUUCUGCCUUCCAGUGCUGGGAUUAAAGGCGUGCACCAACAUCACCUGGCUUGAUGGAAUUCCUUAAGGAGGAUUAUUAUUGUUUACACAGUCACUGUUUCCAUAACGUGUAAGGAUUUCUCCUGUUCCAAUAUUGUAUCUCUAGCAUUUGAGAUAGUGAGCCUCCCUGUCCACCAUACAUUUUCAGGCAGAGAGCCACAUUUUUUCUUAAUUUCUUGUACUUUUUCACAUCAUUUUUGGUUCUACAUAUACUUUCUUUUUCUCAUUGUCUCUAUUUUAAGGCAUCACUCCUCAUCACCGCAUCUUUUAAAAAGUCUAUGUUUUAAAAAUCAGGUUAGUUAGCCAGUUGGGGAUCUACAAUCUUAUCUCUUAAAGGAUAAAAUGCAAUUAAAAUUGCAAGUUCAAGGCAACCAUGGGUUAUCGCACAAAAAGAUUCUAUCUAAAAAGCAAAUAAUCAAAUAGGCAAAAUAUCAAAUAAGUUAAAUAUAACAAUAAUAGUUGAAAGAUAGUAACAUAAUUAUUACAGUUAACAGUUUCUUUUCCCACCCAGGUUCACCAAAUUCUACAUAUCUGUUUUCCUAGAGUCAAAACCCUGUCCCCAGCAGGCCCCAAAUUACCCAUGAUAUGAGGAAUGGCUGAUGAGAACUGGAAUAAAACACAUCCCCAUCUAUUGAAGGUACGUCCAGGUGAAUGUCCACUCAUCGUCAGGGAGCCAGGUUCCUGUAGCAUCUAAAAAAGGGAGACAACGAGUAUUUGCUUUGGGAAACAGGACUGAUUUUCUCUUCUGCAGCAUAUCAGCUUCCUGAACUUACUGACCUGUAACCAUCUACACAUUUGUCCUUCCAUUCCCUCUAACACCUUUGUCAGCAGUUCCCUGUGACAAACUGUUUCUCUUAAAGUACCUAGAAAGCAAUUGUUUUCCUAAGACAGAACUGCCUUCAUAGAAUUCUAAGAAGAUGGAAUCAUUUUCAGUCAUAUCCUGGAAGUAAAUCUCUGGAAGGUGUCUGUCUGUCUUUGUCUCUGUCUCUCUGUCUCUGUGUCUCUGUCUCUCUGUGUCUCUGUCUCUGUCUCUCUCUGUCUCUCUCUGUCUCUCUCUGUCUCUCUCUCUCUCUCUCUCUCUCUCUCUCUCUCUCUCUCUCUCUCUCUCUC